RNAcentral lists this ribosomal RNA (301 nucleotides) under uncultured bacterium. RNAcentral describes it as "partial 16S ribosomal RNA". It matches the Rfam family "Bacterial small subunit ribosomal RNA", at positions 509 to 808 of the family's 1533-position model. The record is from RNAcentral.
CAGUAGCCGCGGUAAUACGUAGGUGGCAAGCGUUGUCCAGAAUUAUUGGGCGUAAAGGGUACGUAGGUGGCCUUUUAAGCGUAGGGUAUAAGGCAAUGGCUCAACCAUUGUUCGCCCUAUGAACUGGAAGGCUUGAGUGCAGGAGAGGAAAGCGGAAUUCCUAGUGUAGCGGUGGAAUGCAUAGAUAUUAGGAGGAACAUCUGCGGCGAAGGCGGCUUUCUGGACUGCAACUGACACUGAGGUACGAAAGCGUGGGGAGCAAACAGGAUUAGAUACCCGCGUAGUCCCUGUCUCUUAUACC